This 196-nucleotide ribosomal RNA is filed under the name uncultured bacterium. RNAcentral's name for it is "partial 16S ribosomal RNA". It matches the Rfam family "Bacterial small subunit ribosomal RNA", at positions 1304 to 1500 of the family's 1533-position model. The record is from RNAcentral.
UCUGCAACUCGACUACAUGAAGCUGGAAUCGCUAGUAAUCGCAGAUCAGAAUGCUGCGGUGAAUACGUUCCCGGGUCUUGUACACACCGCCCGUCACACCAUGGGAGUUGGGAAUACCCGAAGCCUGUGAGCUAACGUUAAGAGGCAGCAGUCGAAGGUAGAAUCAAUGAUUGGGGUGAAGUCGUAACAAGGUAAC